GGCCCCGUAGCUCAGUUGGAUAGAGCAACGGACUUCUAAUCCGUAGGUCCCAGGUUCGAAUCCUGGCGGGGUCGCCA
Molecule: transfer RNA, 77 nt
Filed under: Acuticoccus sp. I52.16.1
Lineage: Bacteria; Pseudomonadati; Pseudomonadota; Alphaproteobacteria; Hyphomicrobiales; Amorphaceae
Description: tRNA-Arg
Rfam family: tRNA
About the family: Transfer RNA (tRNA) molecules are approximately 80 nucleotides in length. Their secondary structure includes four short double-helical elements and three loops (D, anti-codon, and T loops).
Source: RNAcentral